UUCUUUGAAAAGGUCUCGACGAGCUCUAGAAAAUAGAAAAUUUCAUCUAAAAGUGUUGAAAUAGUUAUAAAUGGGGGCUUGUUAGAAAGAUCUCGCUAAGAACUGUAUAAAGAUUAACGCGCAGCUAAUACGAAAAUUUGACGAGAUUUUUAAUAUUUUGCAAAGAGAAUCGUUACGAAAAUCGUUUCGCUAUCUAUAUUUCAUUUAUAAAAGUGUGGACAAUUGCAAAAAGGGCAAAUUACCAAUUACGUCUAGAGCCAUCGAUCUCUACGUUGUCUCACAAUCUUAUAACAAAAAGAUUGUUUUUCGUAUCAAGAAAAUGUACUAUGUCAGAAAUAUGAGGAUUACUGCCGAAACCUUACCGCCGGCUAUGCCAGAAACGAAAGGAAUUUUAAUGUUUACAUGGAUGGGAAAAGUAAAUGGAGCCUUCAAAGCUUACUUUACUACAAAUGUCUCUUUUGCAUUGGAGAAAGUAUACAAGCCAACUGGAGGGCGGAAAUAGUACAAGGAGAUUGUAAUUUGUAAAGAUAAUAAAUCUUUUCGAAGGAACUUCGUAACUU
This is a long non-coding RNA of Bradysia coprophila, 560 nucleotides long. RefSeq lists it as uncharacterized. NCBI's taxonomy places the organism in Eukaryota, Metazoa, Arthropoda, Insecta, Diptera, Sciaridae. The record is from RefSeq and is a predicted model, not a curated record.